AAUGAACGUUGGCGGCGUGGAUUAGGCAUGCAAGUCGAGCGAGAAGUUUUCCUUCGGGAAAAUGGACAGCGGCAAACGGGGUAGUAAUGCGUAGGUAACGUACCCUAAGGACCGGGAUAGCUGAGGGAAACUUCAGGUAAUACCGGAUGAUCUCCCUUCUUCUGAUGGAGAGAGGAGCAAAUGGUGUGAUUCCGCCUUUGGAGCGGCUUACGUGGUAUUAGGUAGUUGGUGAGGUAACGGCCCACCAAGCCUGAGAUGCCUAGGGGGUGUGAGAGCAUGGCCCCCACCACUGGGACUGAGAUACUGCCCAGACACCUACGGGUGGCUGCAGUCGAGAAUCUUCGGCAAUGGGCGCAAGCCUGACCGAGCGACGCCGCGUGCGGGAUGAAGGCCCUUGGGUUGUAAACCGCUGUCAGAGGGGAUGAAAUGCGUAAGGGUAAUCUCUUACGUUUGACAAAGCCUCAGAGGAAGCACGGGCUAAGUACGUGCCAGCCGCCGCAGUAAGAC
This 507-nucleotide ribosomal RNA is filed under the name uncultured bacterium. RNAcentral's name for it is "bacterial SSU rRNA". It matches the Rfam family "Bacterial small subunit ribosomal RNA", at positions 29 to 526 of the family's 1533-position model. The record is from RNAcentral.